CUUAUUCACAGUGUGUUAGGCAUCAAGGAUUGAGCUGAGUAUCUGCAAAUUCUUACCUCAUUUAGGUCUCACAUCAUGAUCCCUAUUUUACAGAAGGCGGCAAGUGAGGUAUCAGAAGUUCCAUCUCUGAGUCAGCUUUGAGCUCAGGUCUGACCAUGCUCCUAGGACUACAUGCUCGUGCUGACUGCGUCUCUGUGAACAGCCCAGACUCCUUAGAGAGGCACUGCAGCAACUCCAUCUGUGCGGUCGACUGGCUGUUCGGCUUCCCUCUUCAAGAAGGCUAGAAAGGAGAAGAGAGCUGUUACCGCUGGGGCAGGGAGAAAAGCAUCAUCUCUGAGCAGAAAUUCUUCCCACCUGGGCCCCCUGGCCUGAGUAGGCUAUGCAAGCCCCAGAAGCUCCUGUGCAAGAGAUGAGGGGGAAGCCCAGGUGAAAAUGUGAAAACUGCCGCGGCGGCUCCCGAAUCCCGGGAGGGAGGCGCCCGCCCGGCCGCCCUUCCGCCCUCGGCAGGCCGAGCUUGCCGGACGCACGGACCGACGGACCGACGGACGCCUCGCGACAGGGGCCCCCAGUCCCGCGCUCCAGAGGUCUGGCGCGGGCCCCGAUCGCGGCGCGAGGGCCGCCUGAAAGGGCGCCAGCGCCCGACCAGGCCUCCGGGACAGGGUCUUCAGCCGGCGGCCGGGCCUCCG
Manis javanica (Malayan pangolin) is the source of this 686-nucleotide long non-coding RNA. RefSeq lists it as uncharacterized. The record is from RefSeq and is a predicted model, not a curated record. Lineage: Eukaryota; Metazoa; Chordata; Mammalia; Pholidota; Manidae.